RNAcentral lists this ribosomal RNA (381 nucleotides) under uncultured Spiroplasma sp. RNAcentral's name for it is "bacterial SSU rRNA". It matches the Rfam family "Bacterial small subunit ribosomal RNA", at positions 128 to 496 of the family's 1533-position model. Lineage: Bacteria; Bacillati; Mycoplasmatota; Mollicutes; Entomoplasmatales; Spiroplasmataceae. The record is from RNAcentral.
ACCAUUUAGUGGGGAAUAACUGUUGGAAACGACAGCUAAUACCGCAUAAUAUUGCUGGAUAAUUUCCAGUAAUGAAAGGAGCUUUCAAGCUCCGCUGAUUGAUGAGGAUGCGGCGCAUUAGCUAGUUGGUAGGGUAAUGGCCUACCAAGGCAAUGAUGCGUAGCCGAUCUGAGAGGAUGAACGGCCACAUUGGGACUGANACACGGCCCAAACUUCUACGGAAGGCAGCAGUAGGGAAUUUUUCACAAUGGGCGAAAGCCUGAUGGAGCAAUGCCGCGUGACUGAUGAAGGUUUUCGGAUUGNAAAGGUCUGUUGUAAGGGAANAAAUGGUAAAACNNGAAAUGGUUUUAUCUAUGACGGUACCUUACCANAAAGCCACGG